CCUCCCACACACAUCCAUAUGCAGAGAAAUAAGGACAGAACAAUAUAUGCUUGUAAUUGUCAUUGUCGUAAGUGAAGUACUAGUGCCGAUGAUAGCCAGGACUACUUACAGGUCUGGCAACCGAGGUGUUAUUAUAAAGACCAUUAUUUAUAGAUUAUCAUUUUACAGUCAUAAUUUUUUUAAUGCAAUUGUCAUUAUCUGUUUAUUUAUUUAUGUGCCUUUUGUGAUCUCAACAACUGAGACGACUAGUUUCUUCCCAGAAGUUAUUACAUUUCAGCAUACGCAAGACUGAAACAUACAGCAACUGUUCAAGGGCUGAAGAGGCAGAGCGAGGCCUGAAGCUUCCCAGGGAGCCCCACUAUGAGAACUGUAGCUGGUGAGAGCAAGAGACCUAGAAACACUGCAGGUUUGCUGUGCGUUUUGAACACUAGGGAGGUACAAAGUCGAAGAGACGCAAAGUCAAAAAGCUCCUGGAGGUUUGCAGACUGCUCUUGGAUGGUGAAAGUCACAUUAAAACUGGUGCUGCUGGUGUGCUUUCUCCAAAGAGCAGCGUGCUUCCACAAGGUGAGCAGCUGUCCUACUUUGCUGCGCUUUGCAUUUUCACCCCUGCUGCCUGCACAUGGGCUGACCUUUCCCUUCCCUGGCACACA
This 650-nucleotide long non-coding RNA is filed under the name Dromaius novaehollandiae (emu). RNAcentral describes it as "lncRNA (ENSDNVG00000015571.1)". The record is from RNAcentral. Lineage: Eukaryota; Metazoa; Chordata; Aves; Casuariiformes; Dromaiidae.